AUAUCAGUCAUGCAUAGCAUAUCAAUAAGCGGAGGAAAAGAAACUAACUAGGAUUCCCUUAGUAACGGCGAGUGAAGCGGGAAGAGCUCAAAUUUGAAAUCUUCAAGGUUCUACCUUGACGAAUUGUAGUUUAUAGAAGUGUUUUCUGUUAGUAGAGUUGGCUAAAAGUUCUUUGGAAUAGGACAUCAUAGAGGGUGAGAAUCCCGUAUUUGGAUCAUUCUUUCUAAGCUUUGUGAUACACUUUCAACGAGUCGGAUUGUUUGGGAAUGCAGUCCAAAAUGGGUGGUAAAUUUCAUCUAAGGCUAAAUAUUGGCGAGAGACCGAUAGCGAACAAGUACCGUGAGGGAAAGAUGAAAAGAACUUUGAAAAGAGAGUUAAACAGUACGUGAAAGUUGUCAAAAGGGAAGCGUUUGACACCAGUAGUUGUUUUUCUCGAAAAUCAAUUAACGAAUGGAUUUUGUUUUAGAGUUAUGACUUUCAUCGCUUGCUUCUUUCUUUACGAACUUUCUUAAUGCACUUUUCGUUAACAAGUCAACAUCAAUUUCUUUUGCUGUAAAAGGGUAUGAGGAAGGUGGCUUUCUUUUCGGAGAAAGUGUUUAUAGCCUUGUGCCUCUGCAGUCGGAGAGAUUGAGGUCUGCAGCGUAGAUCCUUCGGGGUUAGAUAGCAUUUGUGCUAAGUUAUAGCUUUUCAUAGACAACUUGUUGACUAUGAUUUAGUCAUUGUAGCUUACUCGCUUACGCUAUUUUACCUACGCUUAGGAUGUUGAUCUCUCACAGUCGAGC
This 782-nucleotide ribosomal RNA is filed under the name uncultured Neocallimastigales. RNAcentral's name for it is "partial large subunit ribosomal RNA". It matches the Rfam family "Eukaryotic large subunit ribosomal RNA", at positions 22 to 645 of the family's 3401-position model. The record is from RNAcentral. Lineage: Eukaryota; Fungi; Neocallimastigomycota; Neocallimastigomycetes; Neocallimastigales.